Long non-coding RNA from Ziziphus jujuba (common jujube), 1084 nucleotides. RefSeq lists it as uncharacterized. Lineage: Eukaryota; Viridiplantae; Streptophyta; Magnoliopsida; Rosales; Rhamnaceae. The record is from RefSeq and is a predicted model, not a curated record. The transcript is spliced from 3 exons.
CAAUUCUCCACACGUGAACAUUCUUCAAUUCAAAUUUCCCACGUGGCGAAUCAAAAUCCCACUUUAUCGACACGUGUUAAAACCUGUUUUCUCCAAACUCACAAAUCAAAAUCAAAAGCUUUAUCCACUUUCUUUUUUUGGUCCCCCAAUUUUCGAAUCCAAUAUCUUAACGCCCAACUCUUCUGUGAGUGUCUUUUUGUGUUUGCUCUGGAUCUGUGAUCUGAGAGUGUUCCUGAGCUUCAGAACAAAUGGCUCUUCGGAUCGUUUACGGGGUGGUGUUCCUAUCUUUCUCAUGCGCCUGCAUCAAGCUCCUCCACCUCAUGCUCCACCCAAUCUUCCACUUCACCUCCUGAAGAGAAGAACGUACACCAAGUGUUUGAUGAAAUGGUAGGUAUGCUAUAUAACUGAUUUGAGCCGUUGCUUGGCGCACUUCAUCUUCGAGUUGGUAUUCUGAAUAAUGCAGGGGAAGUAUUGGGGUUUACCUUGUAAUUGGGAAAAUUAUAAGAAAGCUGUGUCUUGUGUAAUAUAACUGAGUAAAUCCAAAAUCGAAUUGAUGUUUAGCAAGGUAUUGCUUGGAUGAACAGGCAUCAACUUACUAAGGCUAAAUUUGAAGGUGGAACGAGUUUCUAGAAUUGUCAAUUUGGCCAUACGAAGUAAGCAAGCUUGGAGAAUUAUGCAGCAACCUAAUGGUUGUGGUAAGGAUUUUAGAAGGGAUUUAUUUUCUCUCAAACUUUUAUGCACUGUAGUAAAAAUCCUAGAGCCUUUAUUUCGUUGAGAGUAUUUUAGAAGUGCUUCUUAUCAUCUCCAAGCGCAGCCUAGCGUAGAGAAUAUUUUAUGCAGAUGUCUAAAUAAAUCAUUGAUCUCUUGACAUAACCUGUUCCGGAAGCAUAUCAUUAAGGAUCCGAUAUGCCCUUGUUGCGAGAAGGUUACCAAGACUAUGGAACAUUUGCUGACUGGGUGUGAUUGGGCACGUUUUGUUUGUUUUGGAUCUCCUUCUAAUCUGUCAAUGUAUGAAAAUCCUGUACAUUUUGUGAAAACGCUGUUUGGAUUGAAACUAAACCUAAUCUUCAUGCUUUAAGCUGCA